AACAUUACGGUCAUGAUUAUACCAAAUAAUCUCUGGUCAUAAUCAUACCAAGUCCAUCUAUGCAAUACAGGCCACAGAUGACUUUCAACAUAAUAUAAACAUGAGGAUGAUGACAAUGACAUAAUAAUUCAAUAAAACAAGUUCAAGAAUUAAUUUAUCCAAGAACCAAUAAUGUCCAAAUUGUCAACAUGAUACUGCUUUGUAGAGUAAAAUUCAAGAAUGCUCA
Molecule: long non-coding RNA, 226 nt
Filed under: Panax ginseng (ginseng)
Lineage: Eukaryota; Viridiplantae; Streptophyta; Magnoliopsida; Apiales; Araliaceae
Description: long non-coding RNA (PGIN_LNC010183)
Source: RNAcentral